GUGCCAGCCGCCGCGGUAAUACAGAGGGUGCGAGCGUUGUCCGGAAUCACUGGGCGUAAAGGGCGCGUAGGUGGCUCUAUAAGUCGGGGGUGAAAUGCUGCGGCUCAACCGCAGCGCUGCCUCCGAGACUGUAGGGCUCGAGCACGGUAGAGGCCGAUGGAAUUCCCGGUGUAGCGGUGGAAUGCGUAGAGAUCGGGAAGAACACCAAUGGCGAAGGCAGUCGGCUGGGCCGUUGCUGACACUGAGGCGCGACAGCGUGGGGAGCAAACAGGAUUAGAUACCCUGGUAGUCC
RNAcentral lists this ribosomal RNA (292 nucleotides) under uncultured bacterium. Its description in RNAcentral is "partial 16S ribosomal RNA". It matches the Rfam family "Bacterial small subunit ribosomal RNA", at positions 505 to 796 of the family's 1533-position model. The record is from RNAcentral.